Molecule: ribosomal RNA, 441 nt
Filed under: uncultured Achromobacter sp.
Lineage: Bacteria; Pseudomonadati; Pseudomonadota; Betaproteobacteria; Burkholderiales; Alcaligenaceae
Description: bacterial SSU rRNA
Rfam family: Bacterial small subunit ribosomal RNA
Source: RNAcentral
UGGGGAAUUUUGGACAAUGGGGGAAACCCUGAUCCAGCCAUCCCGCGUGUGCGAUGAAGGCCUUCGGGUUGUAAAGCACUUUUGGCAGGAAAGAAACGUCGUGGGUUAAUACCCCGCGAAACUGACGGUACCUGCAGAAUAAGCACCGGCUAACUACGUGCCAGCAGCCGCGGUAAUACGUAGGGUGCAAGCGUUAAUCGGAAUUACUGGGCGUAAAGCGUGCGCAGGCGGUUCGGAAAGAAAGAUGUGAAAUCCCAGAGCUUAACUUUGGAACUGCAUUUUUAACUACCGGGCUAGAGUGUGUCAGAGGGAGGUGGAAUUCCGCGUGUAGCAGUGAAAUGCGUAGAUAUGCGGAGGAACACCGAUGGCGAAGGCAGCCUCCUGGGAUAACACUGACGCUCAUGCACGAAAGCGUGGGGAGCAAACAGGAUUAGAUACCCU